RNAcentral lists this long non-coding RNA (578 nucleotides) under Physcomitrium patens. Its description in RNAcentral is "long non-coding RNA (PPAT_LNC014906)". The record is from RNAcentral. Lineage: Eukaryota; Viridiplantae; Streptophyta; Bryopsida; Funariales; Funariaceae.
GUACUGCAACUUCCCAUGCCUCAACAGCCUUUGAUUUUGAAACAACCAGUUCUUCUUCCGUAUACUCCUGUUCGCAGUCCGAUGUAUAUUCUGGACUGGUAAUUUGAGUUUCUCCGUGAUACUGGAUAGGAUACAUUUGGAGCACUAUUUUAUCCUUACCCUUUCCAAUUGUUAGCGUUCCACGACCCCAAUCGUUCUGAGCUUCAGCUUAAUAUAGCCACGGUCGACCCAACAAAAUUGGAUAUGAUAAUACUGUGCUUUGCAAUCGAAAUACAAUAUAAUCAAUUGUGUAUGUAAUCCCCGCAACAAUUGUAUCAAUUCCUUGUAAAGUACCCAUAGGUCGGACUCGACUUGAAUCUGCCAUUCGCAAAACAACCGUAGUUGGCAUUAAUUGGUCCAAUCCCAAUUCUUCUAUUGUAUCCACAUUCAUGAGAUUAACGCUAGCCCCGCCAUCCACUUGUACACCCUGAACUAAUACUCCAUCAAUUGAUACAUCAAUAGUCGGCGCGCUUGGAUCCGGAUUCAAACUUACUUCACGAAUUUCUUUUUGACGAGUUCUUCGUCGAAUCAAAGAAGAG